This is a long non-coding RNA of Brassica rapa (field mustard), 8792 nucleotides long. RefSeq lists it as uncharacterized. The record is from RefSeq and is a predicted model, not a curated record. Lineage: Eukaryota; Viridiplantae; Streptophyta; Magnoliopsida; Brassicales; Brassicaceae.
GUUUUUGUUAAUAUAAUAGUAUAUAUAUUUUUAAUUAUGAGAUAGAUUAACACAUGUCACAAUCUUAAAUAUAUAAUUGCUAUGUGUCGCGAUCCUAUUAAUUAGCAACUUUGAAGAACCAAGUUUUAUAUAAUAAGAUAGAUUUUAUAUAGUAUAGAUAGCAAAAAUUAAUAUGAUGAUUUUUCAUAAUUUGAUUGGUGGUUUUAAUCCUAUAUGGACGUUCCUAGUGGCUUAUAUUCUGAACUCUUAUAUAGUAUAGAUAUAAACUAAAAUUUUAAAAUUCUGUCAUAAUACAUUUUUAAAUUAAUUAUUAUUUUGGUAAUUUUUAAGGUAAUUUUUUUGAAAUUAUGCUAUAUAUUAAGCUAACUUAUCUAUGAUGUUUUUACUUUUGUAAGUUUUCCAUAUUUGAUACUGGUUUGUUUUUUUAUUUGGAAAUAAAUAAACUUUUGGAAAUUUUGACAUUUUAAAAACUAAUAAAAUAAAAUAAUGAUUUUUCAUAAUACGAUUCAUUGUUUUAAAUUAUAAUUUAUAGCCUCAACUUUUACAUACUUUUUGAUCAAUAACUGUUUGUUGAGUAAACUAAAUUAAGAACUUGUGAAAAAUCACCUUGUAACUUGUUUUGUUGUUGAUGACCAAGAAGUUCUUAAUCUUAUAGACUACACAGCCUUUAAAUCAUCUUCAUAGCACACUAUACGAUUAGCUGGUAUGAAGGUGUGUGAUUUGUUUUCCCUGUAAAAUUUUGUGUCAACCAAAUAAUGUCGUGCUUAUUAAAUUUUAAAUUGCGAAUGUCUAAAUAAAAAAAAUUAUACCUUUUGAUCAAUAAGAAAUAACUCGAGACCCAUAGGCAAACCACCCUUGCUGAAGUUACAUGCUUCAAAAAAGUGAACCACUCAAUCAAGGACUUCAUUCUUAUUCAAACCUUUUUUAAAUAAUCGAAAACUAAAGAAGUAGCAGAAGCAACGAUUGGGUAAAUAUAUAUUUUCUCUUUUUAAUAUCUCUCUUUUUCUCAAAGUAAAUCUUGUAAACUUUUAGAACUUUACAAUUAUUUAUAGUCAUCCAAUACUUUAUAAGUUGGGAAGUUUCUUAUUUUAUGUAUUUAGUGAAUUUCCCUUUUAGAUGUUUUAGUUUUUGUUAUUCAACUCCUUUAACAUCAGUUUUUCAUUUUUUUCGUUAGUCUAUUUUAUGUUAAUAUACAUAAAUUUGGAAAUCAUGACAUUUAAAAAAUAACUAUUUUUUAUUAGCAUACUUUAUUAGAUAAUAUAUAUAUUUUAUUAACAUGUAAUAUAGUAUUUAAGGAUAUGUUUUAACUUUUAAAAUUUUGUUUUUUUAAUCUAAUAAUUAUGUAUCAACAUUAAGUAUUAAAAAAUUGGAAAUCAUGACAUUUGAAAACUAAUAAUGUUUUAUUAGCAUACUUUAUUAGAUAAUAUAUAUCUUUUAUUAAUAGGUAAUAUAGUAUUUAAGGCUAUGUUUUGACUUUUAGAAUUUUUAUUUUUAAAUCUAAUAAUUAUAAAUCGACAUUAAUUAUUAGAACUUAUAUUUUCUGUUAAUAUACAUUAAUUUGUAAAUCAUGACAUUUUAAAAACUAAUAAUUUUUUUAUUAGCCUACUUUAUUAUAUAACUAGGGUAAAACCCGUCUUACGGGCGGGUAAGCAAAUGAAAAUAAUUAAAACAUGUUAAUUAGUAAAAUAUAGUUAAAUAAAGUACUAUUCUAAUGAAUAUUUUUUUAUUCUUGUUAAAAAUAAAAAUAAAAAUAAAAUUUUAAAAAUGUUAUGAUGAAAAUGUCAUUAUUUUACAUUUUCAUCGAUGUUUAUUCUUUGAUUAUAAUCAAUAAGUAAAAUACAUUUAUUAUAUUAUUUAGCUAUAUACCUUUUUAGUGAAUUUUUUAGCCAGAUUUGGUUUCUGGGACAUUGCCCAUUUAUUUCAGUCGUAAAGCAUUCUUGCCAAAUGUGAAUCAAACCCUAAUGGUAGAACUUAGGCCUGGGCAUUUCGAGUAGCGGUUAGGUUCGGUUCGGGUAUUUCGGAUUUCGGGUAGUUCGGAUAUGAGGCUAGAGUAUCCAUUCAGUACUUGAUCUAUUUUCGGUUCGGUUCGGUUCGGUGCGGAUAAUUUUGGGUUCGGUUCGGAUAGUAAAUCUAGGAACCGGGAAAUAUCCGGAAAAAGUUUGGUUCUCAUUUGGAUCCGGCUCGGAUUCGGAUAGUUCGGGUAGUUCGGAUAAUUUGGAUAAAAUAUUGGUUAUUUAGGAUAAAAUAUCAAAUAAAUAGGAUGAUGUAGAUAAAAAUUUUGGAUAUUUUGGAUUACUUUGGAUAUUUCGGAUAAAAAUAUCCGGAUAGUUUCGGAUACUUUCGGGUAAUUCAGAUACUUUAUAAUAAUUUAGUUAUCCUCAACUAUUUUCAGAUACUUUUAGUAGAAUUUUAAAUUAAAAAUAUAUAUUUAGCUAAGUUAUAUGUAUAUAUAGUUAAUAUUUUUAUAUAUUCGGGUACCCGUUUGGUUCUCGGUUCGGUUCGGUUAUUUCGGAUAUAAAAAUAUAGAAACUGUUCGAGUAUUUGAGGGUAUUGGUCCGGUUCCAGUUUCAGGUAUUUCGGUUCGGUUCCGGCUCGGUUCUUCGGUUCCAGUUAAUUUGCCCAGGCCUAGGUAGAAGUUACAACCUCAAAAAUUUUACAAAAUUGUAGAUAUAAAUGUGUAUAGGAAAGACUCUUAUUUAUUUCUUUUAAUAGAUAUAGUAAAGCAAUUAUGAUUUUAAAUAUAUUUUUUUGCAACAUAUCUUAUUUAAUAAUUAAAUUGGUUCUUAAAAAUUAAGUGCUUUGAUAUCAAAGUUUUUGCAUAUAAUAUCCUUUGGUCUCACCCAAAAAAUAUUUUUAAUCAUUUACUUCCUCAAUAUGAUUGUAUCGAUUGGUAGGACGACCAGAUUUAUGAAAUGUUGUUUACGUUCAUUUCCUUCUUGUGUGUUUCGCCUGAGAAACAGUGAGAAAUUAACUUUUUGAAUUUGUUUGGUAAAAUAAUUAACUGGACCAAGAAAGAAUAUCCGGUUAUCAGUUCUGAUAGGAUCUGAUCAUUUCAGUACAUUGGAAUUUGUGUGUAUGAUGUUAGCCUGAUAUCUGCAAUGUCAGCAAAUGAAAACUUUAACAUUCUCAUUGAUUUAUUAGUUCAUAUAUUAGGCUUGAUAAGUGAUUCCUUAAACAACUUCUCGAAAACCCAUGAUCAUAUCUUCAUGUAUCUUGUACUUAACACUUUUGCAUAUCCUUUUAUGUAUAGGACAAACGAAGCAUACAGUAAAGAUCUGGAUCGUGCUGGUCACAAUCUCUGCCUUUUUGAUUGGUCUUUUGCAGGCUGAAAUCGUUCCUCCAAGCUAUACAUGGUUGGUGAGUUAAACAAAAGUCUUUCCUUUUGGUUUACUAUUUGAUCAUCUGAAACUACGAUUGUGUUGUCAUUUGGUUAUGUCGCCGCCUGUUUCUGUUACAGCUACACAUCUACUUUGUAGUAUCUCUCAGAUGCCAUGGUCUUUGAAUGGUUGGUCUCGGUUAAUACAGUUUCCUACCUGUCCCCAAGAAGCUCAGUUAGGGUAACAAAAUAAAAAAAAAGACGAAAAACAUAUAUUCUACAAAAAAGUUGGAGACAGAACCAAGAAAGAAUAAAUACGUGAGGUGAUCUUACUUGAAGUAAUGGCAGGAUUGAGUAAAGUCUCAUCCUCCCUUUUCAAAUGAACUACAACUCUCCCAACUUUCAUGAAAUCACGCGGGUAUGCUCUGUCAAUCUGAGAACAAUAUCAUAAAAAAUCAAAUCAUUAACCCUGAAAACUUAAAUCAAAUGAUUCAAAUCAUAAACGAAAGAUUUUGUAUUUAAAUUUAGAUAGUACAUGAAAAAAUUGACACAAAAUCAACAAACAAAAUCAAAAUCCAAUCAUUGCCCAUAAACGAAAUGUCAUCUGGUGUUAGUAAACCUAUUUUUCACUCUAUUAUAGAGUGAAAAAUAGAGUACCAUUAGAGCAUUUUUUAUUCUAAACUCUAUUUUAGAGUGAAAAAUAGAGUGGGGUUGGAGAUGCUCUUAGGAAGCGAUGAGAUUAGUUCAUGCUUCCAUCCUAAAUUCAGAAACCCAUAGGAAGUAAUAAAAGGGAUACCUUUUCAUCCGUUUUUACAGCCAAGUCGUAGAUUUGAGAUGCACCAGAGGACAUUUCGACUACUGGAUGAAAUCUAUGCGGGUUUCAAAAAUGUGAGUUGAUUUGAGAUGCACGGCCCUGGUGUAUGACAUGAACUAUAUAUAGGUGAGAAGUUUGAAGCGGUUAUGAAAUCCACCCAUUAUUGAGGGUCUGAGUGAUGAACAAAAAAAACAAAUUAGUAAACCUAUUUUUCACUCUAUUAUAGAGUGAAAAAUAGAGUACCAUUGGAGCAUUUUUUAUUCUAAACUCUAUUUUAGAGUGAAAAAUAGAGUGGGGUUGGAGAUGCUCUUAGGAAGCGAUGAGAUUAGUUCAUGCUUCCAUCCUAAAUUCAGAAACCCAGAGGAAGUAAUAAAAGGGAUACCUUUUCAUCCGUUUUUACAGCCAAGUCAGAGAUUUGAGAUGCACCAGAGGACAUUUCGACUACUGGAUGAAAUCUAUGCGGGUUUCAAAAAUGUGAGUUGAUUUGAGAUGCACGGCCCUGGUGUAUGACAUGAACUAUAUAUAGCUGAGAAGUUUGAAGCGGUUAUGAAAUCCACCCAUUAUUGAGGGUCUGAGUAAAGACUGGGAGAUCGUGAGAUGUAUAGAUAGAGGAAGACUAACAGUUAAUGUGUUUAAUUGGAGAAGUAGAAACGAUAAUGUAUGUGAGUGUGAGAAAGUUAGGAUAUGCAGCAUUCAGCCAUUCUCGUCGUGAUCCGUUACAGGAUACCGAGCACAAUCGAUCGUCGUACUCGCCGCCGUAGUCAGAGAAACGAAGAAGACAAUUAGGUUAGCGUCAUAUGAGAUGUUCCAGGGCCUUAAAAAGUACGAAAUAAAGCCCAUUAUCGCAGCACACGCACAUCAAACUUAAGCCCAUACGGUCCCUAAAUUAUUGAAGCGCCGCAUUUCAUUUAACAGGACAAGUGUCAGCUAGGCAGCUUAUGAAUUUGUGCGCUGGCAGCUGAGGUGGACACCCUAGGAGUGAAGGAAAAGUGUACUUUAUAGUUUUGGAUAUACAUUUUUUGGAAUAUUAACAUUUAAUUUGAUUUGUCAUAUUUUUACUGGUGGUUUUAAAUCCUAUAUGAACGCGUCCUAUGGAUUAUAGUCUUUUUACUUUUUCUUUUUCAUUUUAUUAUAACAAUUAACAUUUUAAAACAAGUUAGAAAAUUUUAAUAUUUAUUCUUUAGUUUAAAUUAUAUAUGGAUUAUUAAUUUCGUUUUCAAUACAAUUUUGGAAAUUUUGACAUUUUAAAAACUAUUAAACUAAAAUGCUGAUUUGUCAUCAUACUAUUAGUCGUUUUAAAUCCUACGUGGACGCCCUCAAUGGCUUAUAGCUUCAAUUUUUAUAGAGUAUAGAUUCAUAGCUCCGAAAUUAAUAAAUACACAUUAAUAAACAAAAAAAAUAUCAAAAUUCAUUUUGAAUUUUGUGAAAAAGCAUGUCUUUUAAAAUUAAUAGAGAAGUUCUCACAUGAAGUAUGAAUAAACAAUAAUAUUGUUAAUCUCGUCAUUAUAAAAUAUACUAGGUUACGCAAUUUGUUCAUAAUUUCCCCAAUUCACAACAAACACGAAUGAACAAGAAAAAUGUUCAAAUUCAUUUUCAAUUUAGAGAAAAUUCAAAUUUACAAAAUUAACAGGGAUACUAAGUUUUAUUUUUAGGUUAUUUUUGCAAUUUCAAAUUAAAGAAAAAAAGGUUUCUCAGUGAGUAGACUUCUUGAGAAGUCUCAAUUUCUAAACUAGUGGGUUAAUUUUUUAUUUGAAAAAAAAAACAAGUUGCUUAGAACAGUCCUUUGAUAAUUUUUGACUUUUCAUAGCUUUUGAAGAAAUUUAAAUUUUCAUAGAAUACAUCAAGUUUUCUUCUAGGUCCUUGUUGUCACUAAAUCUUCACAGCGCCUUGAUAAGUUUAUUCUGGUUAAUUUUGCCAUUGAAUUUUUUUUUAACGUUGGAUAAUUAUGCUAUUACAAACUCUGAGAAAUAUUACAGACGAUUCUACAGCCGACAAUUCUACCUGUCUUAUUAGGAUUCACGUCUAACUGCAUCAUCUGAGCUCCCUAUCGGAUCCACGCUUGAAGGUACUCCUUGCGCCAUGCUGCAGAUCUCUUGUAAGCAUUUUCUCCAUUAAUUCGCAUACUUUCGCCUUUUCUGGAAAUCGAAACCCAGACCUCCUGGUGUAGAAGUAUUAAUGAACCUUUAGUCAAACCACUGGUCCAAGGGGACUUCCACCAGUUAAUUUUGCAAUUGAAUGUAUUUAAUUUUAUACGAGUAGACCUUGGGAGAAAAAGACUUUCCUUGAGUAGAUUUCUUGGUAUCUAACUAUCUAUGAAAGAAGACUUGUCGAUGAAUAGACUCUUUGGUGUCUAUGAUAACUGUUUAGAAAUUAGAAUGAGAAGACUUCUUGGUAUCUAUUAUAACUGUUUAGAAAUUAAUAUCAAAAUAUAAUAAUAAAACAACAUGUCGUAAAAUAUGUUAAAUCCUAAAAAAUCAUAUACAUUCAGAUAUUUAACAGAUAAAUAAAAUAAAAUAGCUAACCUAAUGAUUUAAAAAAAAAUUAACUUAAACUUUAGUAUAUAAAAUUUUCUGUUUAAAAAAAUUUGUUCCUGGUUAUAAAUAAUUAUCUUAAUUUAAAAUCGAUUACAGAAAUUUCUAAAACAAACUUAAGCAAUUGGUGGUUUUACUUAUUUUUUUUUGUACAUAUCUUUUUUGGCUUUUAACAGUUUUACAAAAAUAUUUCGUUAAGAAAUCAUUUAGAUAAGAGAUGUCUAACACGUAGUUUAUUUAUGAGAUUUAUAUUACUUUUUAUCUAUUAAGAUGAAUUAACAAAUUUUUUAUUCAUCACCAAUUAAAUUUUUAUCACUACUAUUACAUUCUGGUUUUAACAAACAUAAAUAUAGUCAACUACAGUACGCUGUAGUCUACAAGAAAAAUGUAUGGUCGAACAAAAAAAAUACAUAUUGUUUUUUCAUAAAUUUAUAAUUCAAUCUCUACUAUAUAAAAUGAACCAUUUUCAAAUCUUCUUAGACUGUCCACAUAGGAUGAAAUAUUCCUAGCCAAUCAUUUGUCCAUGUCAUCAAAAAUUCUUAGGCCAUGAAUCUGUGUUUUCAUUUGGGCUGUGUUUACAUUUAUUAAACUACCCGAGUCCAACCCAUCUCGCCAUUUCUGAAGCGUGACUCUUCCCCGACUAUUCCUCUUCGUCAUUACUGAUCAAUUUCUCAGCACCAAACACUUCGCCGUUACAGUUAUCCUUCUUCAUUAGUAUAUUAUCUCUUUAAUAUUGGUUUAAUGGUUUCGUUCCACCUUCCCCCUUUCUCUCCUUCUAUAUAAAGGACUCCAUCUCAUCGUUAUCCCAGCCCUAAUUGAAACUCUGCUGAAACAGCUACAUUUACCGGCAUGAAAUCCACUGGGUACUCUCCCCUCUCCACCGACAUGUCUUCUGUUGCUGUUUCUCUCUCCAAUUAAAAAUGACGGGCUCAAACGAGGACGAGGAGGACCAUCUUAAAAGAAGGAGGAGAUGAAGAAUCUACUCCUCCGUGAUGAUGAUAGCCCGAGAAGUAGAAAAAAAAACAUUUCGAUCCAACUUCUUUUGUUUUCAAGAUCAUUGACUUGGAUGGAUAUGGACCUCCACCUAGACGUUUCCAACCAAACACACGAGCAAGUUGAGUGAUGAAGAGCUUACCUACUUACAAAAACAUUUUUCUCAAGCUUUACCAUUUCAUUUCAUCCUUGGUAAUUUGCUUUACCUUAUUUUUACCCAACUUCCUCGCCACUUUGUGUGUCUUCUCUAUAGUUAAGCUUCUGGGAGAGUUGUGCAUAAGCAUCUUGAAGAAUUCAUGAGAGAGUGAGGUAACUUGCUCAAACGAGUUCUUUUCAGAAAAAUAAUUCAGUUCAUGAGUAGGUUUAUAGAAUGGGAAGAGAUAAGAUCAUGAAAUGGUUCUAAUGGUUUAUACAAGUUGCAAUAUUUCAAUAUUUGUGUUUAAAUUUCUGCCUUUUGAUUUGAUGAUACUAAUCUUUGUUCUCUUUACUUUGGUAUUAACUAAGUUAUGAUUCUUCUGCAUUUGGCCUGAGGUUUUCUUCCUAACAGUCUUUUCCUUUUUCCUUAAUCUGUAAAGGGAAGAAUAACGGGCUAGCUUCUGCCAUCGUGAAACUGUGGAAGAAAUGUGUUACUGCAAUCAAUUAAUUACUGUUUAUCGUCUUUAUAUUUUGUUACGCACAUAAAUACAGAACUGUUAGAAUAGAUAUUCGGUAGAAUAUUGUAUAUGUCUAUGAGUUAUGGUAUUUACCAUAUAUAGACAUAUACAAUAUUCUACCGAAUAUCUAUUUUAACAAGAACAAAUACAGAACGGCAAGGCAUCAACCGGAGACUUCAGAGGCUACCGGUAUAUACUUUCACAUAACAAUUUUGUGUUUUUCUGAACUAUUAACCACACAUGUCUCUAGAAAGUUGCUUACUCUUUCGAAAGCUAAAGUCUCGAAGGCAAAACAUAUUACAAAUAUUUCUCUUUUUUUUUCUUUCACAGGAGAACCUCAAGUGAAAGAAGAAAAAGAUGACAUCUAUCAAAAUAUCAAAUCUCUUGACAUUAAAACUUAAAUUUCUAUCAAAGAUUUCAAAUCUCUUGAUAUUCUUUCGUAUUUGUUCAGAAUUUAAUUGUUAUAAUAUUACUUACAUGUUUAA